This 492-nucleotide ribosomal RNA is filed under the name uncultured bacterium. RNAcentral's name for it is "partial 16S ribosomal RNA". It matches the Rfam family "Bacterial small subunit ribosomal RNA", at positions 29 to 507 of the family's 1533-position model. The record is from RNAcentral.
AGUGAACGCUGGCGGUAGGCCUAACACAUGCAAGUCGAACGGCAGCACAGUAAGAGCUUGCUCUUACGGGUGGCGAGUGGCGGACGGGUGAGGAAUACAUCGGAAUCUACUUUUUCGUGGGGGAUAACGUAGGGAAACUUACGCUAAUACCGCAUACGACCUACGGGUGAAAGCAGGGGAUCUUCGGACCUUGCGCGAUUGAAUGAGCCGAUGUCGGAUUAGCUAGUUGGCGGGGUAAAGGCCCACCAAGGCGACGAUCCGUAGCUGGUCUGAGAGGAUGAUCAGCCACACUGGAACUGAGACACGGUCCAGACUCCUGAGGGAGGCAGCAGUGGGGAAUAUUGGACAAUGGGCGCAAGCCUGAUCCAGCCAUACCGCGUGGGUGAAGAAGGCCUUCGGGUUGUAAAGCCCUUUUGUUGGGAAAGAAAAGCAGCAGGUUAAUACCCCGCUGUUCUGACGGUACCCAAAGAAUAAGCACCGGCUAACUUCGUG